AUAUUUGCCUGGCAGGGAAGACGGUAUCUUCACAAAGGUGGUUCACCCAGGUUGAGGUUUGGCCAUUGCACUCCUGUACUGACCCCUGCGAAUUCCCCAAAUGUUGGAUUCUCAACUGCUACAUUUAAUUUC
This 132-nucleotide small nuclear RNA is filed under the name Paramormyrops kingsleyae. Its description in RNAcentral is "U1 spliceosomal RNA (ENSPKIG00000025002.1)". It matches the Rfam family "U1 spliceosomal RNA". Rfam says of the family: U1 is a small nuclear RNA (snRNA) component of the spliceosome (involved in pre-mRNA splicing). Lineage: Eukaryota; Metazoa; Chordata; Actinopteri; Osteoglossiformes; Mormyridae. The record is from RNAcentral.